GUAUUUGUUGAUAAUAUUUGAUUUUAUGAAGAAAAUAGAGUGACAAUAGCAUGGUUACAUUUCUUCUGUUUUGAGAGUGUCCUGGACAUUUUUAUGAUGUACGGUGCAUAUACAACUACCAGGCGCUCAGCUCUAUCACAAAUUUUUCUAAGAUUUCUUUGGUUUAGCCUUGCUUCAGUUUUUGUAACUUUUCUUUAUGUUUUUUUUUCCUAAACAAUGAUUUUUAUCUGAUAUCAUCAGGUUUUUGUUGUUUUUUAUUGUCGUGUUGAUGAUGUUUACAUUUACAACUCUUUGUUAUGAUUGCAGAAAAGCACUCCAGGAAGAGAGUAAAAACGAUUCAAAUUAAGUUAUUUUCAUAUUUUAUGUUAUUGUUGUCGAGAUUAUGCCUGUGUCCAGUUUUUCAUUAGUUUCCUCAUGCGGAUUCCUGCAUGUCAUCUUCUAACAAACCAAUGUGAUCAUUGGCCUCUCAUUCACUUUGUGAAGUGGCCGCGCCAGGAACAACAUUAUGUUGGACGGGGAAUGUACGAAAGGAGUUUGGAUUUCAUAAAUUAUGCAUUGGAUAUUAUCUUUCGUAUUUUUUUCUUUACUUAUAAUACAUGUAGAAGUACUAAGAUACACCUUGUUGCUUUUCUCAGGUAUAUGCUGUUUUGGCUUGUCAUUUUGACUGCAAAAUUUUCAUUUGCUUAUUUUCUUCAGGUUGCUCAUAUGAUUCAAGCAGAAUCUGGUGCACAAAAGAGGGAUGAAUAUAUUCAUUGUUUGAUGCAGCUCCCGAAUCAGACAAAUACAAGUGUUGCAUCUUCUUUAGGGACACUUUUCCUUCCCCAGAUCUCAAUGAUCUUCUUGGACAAGCAGUUCGGUCAAGAGGGAGACACUUAAACUGAUUGAGACAUUCUUGGAUAAGGUUGAAGAUCAACUACAGACUGGAAAGUAAUUUGUGCCGCCAAUGAUGGAUCCUGUUCUUGGAGAUUAUGAUAGGAAUGUUCCUGAUGCAAGGGAAUCAGAGGUUUUGUCCCUUUUUGCCACAAUAGUAAACAAAUAUAAAGCUACAAUGAUAGAAGAUGUACCCCGCAUAUUUGAAGCCGUUUUUCAGUGCACAUUAGAGGAUAGGCAGGUCUUGUUGUAGCUACUUAUUGUCAACUCUUAAUGUAUGUAUUUAAAUUUUAGGAAUCUGGUAUAAAGCUUGUAAUUCACCGCAUAAAUAUGUAUCAAUUUCAUUUCCAAGGUUAGAUAAAAUUUUGUGAUCAAGUUUGGUGCCUUGCUGUCUAUUAUGUAGAUUUGUUGGAAGUAUCAUAUGUCCUUGCGGGUGCCUUCUUGCUUUUGGCAUGAGAAGCUAUUGUCCAUAUCUUAUUAGGCUGUGUUAGUUAACCUCUUGAUGGUGUGGUUCUAUUUUGUUUUGGAUGUCUUGCUUGAUCGUUUUAAUCGGUCAAUAUUGAUUUUAAAUGUCAUAUUUAAUUUAUCUUUUGUUUUGAGACAGCACCAGUUUUGAUGUGUAGUUAUAUCAUAAUAUUGGGGUGAUUUCAAAUAGCAGGUUAAUGAGGUUGAUGAUAUUCUUCAACAGGUUGAUGACACCCUCGAGUUAUUCAACAAAUUACAGUUGCAACAUCAACGGUGUUAUAUUUUUUUUUUUUUGAACAAGCCAAAAUGAGAUAUAUUAACCAAAUCAGUCCUCCUAGCACAAGGCGUACCGGGAUAGACUACAAUCAACGUGUUGAUGACACAAUGGUUGUAUGCUUGGGUUCUGUUUUCAUGCCGGAUAGUCUGGGGCAUUUACUUGGUAUAGAUACACAUGAUCCUGGAGGCUACCCAAAGAUUUGAACCUGUUAAUUUCUGGACUGUCAUGUAGUUGUUUUGUCAUACCUAGCAUCCGGGGCAUCUUUGAUCCAGUAACUGAAAGAGAGAUUUGUGUUUCGGCGAGUAUUUGAUUCACUAUUUUCAACGAGUUUUACUCUAUUCAUUGAUUUUUGAGUUUGAUACGACGUGAUUGUGUUAAAAUGUUUUUACUCUUAAAGCAACUUUGUUGUAAAACAUGGUGUACAUUUUUUAACCUAAUGCAGAAGCUACUUUUCACACUUCUAGUAAACCGAAGGUUUGAUGAAUACAUUUUGAUUCAAAGCAACCAAACAUCUAUAGUUUUAUUAAAUUUAAGUUUGAGAUGAUGCAAAAUAAUUAAAGUUGCGUUUGAGAGGAAGCAAAAUAAAUUUUGGCACUCCAAGUUGGCGUUUGGGUGAGUUUUUGACAAACAUUAUUUUGAAUAAACUUGAUUUUGUAUAAUCGAAGUUUGAAUUUAAGUAAUUUAUGUUUGAUUAAUUUUUAUCUUAAAAAUAUUUUGGCAUA
Molecule: RNA transcript, 2334 nt
Organism: Trifolium pratense (red clover)
Lineage: Eukaryota; Viridiplantae; Streptophyta; Magnoliopsida; Fabales; Fabaceae
Exons: 10
Source: RefSeq, a predicted model, not a curated record